CCUACGGGAGGCAGCAGUGGGGGAUAUUGCACAAUGGGGGAAACCCUGAUGCAGCGACGCCGCGUGUGGGAAGACGGUCCUCUGGAUUGUAAACCACUGUCCCCAGGGACGAAGAUGCCGUUACCUGGGGAGGAAGCUCCGGCUACCUACGUGCCAGCAGCCGCGGUAAUACGUAGGGAGCGAGCGUUGUCCGGAAUUACUGGGUGUAAGGGGAGCGUGGGCGGGGAUGCAAGUUGGGUGUCAAAACUACCGGCUCAACUGGUAGUCGCACUCAAAACUGCAGCGCUGGAGUGAAGUAGAGGCAGGCGGAAUUCCUAGUGUAGCGGUGAAAUGCGUAGAUAUUAGGAGGAACACCAGUGGCGAAGGCGGCCUGCUGGGCUGUGACCGACGCUGAGGCUCGAAAGUGUGGGGAGCAAACAGGAUUAGAUACCCGAGUAGUC
Molecule: ribosomal RNA, 440 nt
Filed under: uncultured bacterium
Lineage: Bacteria
Description: partial 16S ribosomal RNA
Rfam family: Bacterial small subunit ribosomal RNA
Source: RNAcentral